UUUUUUUUUUUUUUUGGUUUUUUUAGGGCAACACCUGUGGCAUAUGGAAGUUCCAGGCUAGGGGUCAAAUUGGAGUUGCAGCUGCCAGACUAUGGCACAGCUACAGCAAUUUGGGAUUCGAGCCACAUCUAUGACCUACACCGCAGCUCACGGCAAUGCCGGAUCCUUAACCCACUGAGCGAGGCCAGGGAUGGAACCUGUAUCCUCAUGUAUACCAGUCAGGUUCAUUACCGCUGAGCCACAGUGGGAACUCCCCUAACAGUCCUGAUUCUGUACUUCUCCGAGCAUCCAUCCUCUUUGACAUAUAACCUCGUAGAUCUGGCCGUGGGGCUUGCUUUGGCUCAGUGGAUGUGUGUUAGCAGACAGGAUGUGAGCCAUGGCUUGGAGAGGCACUGGUGCCUCGCUGCUUGCACCCUGGCUUGUCUACCACAAGAACAUGCCUGGGCAAGACUGCUGGAGUGUGACGAUGCGCACAGUCUUGUCAGCUCAGUCCUGUCAUCCUGGCCUAAGUUAGUGUAGAUCAGGCAGCAUCCAGCCAAACCCACAGGGAAUGGCGAGGCCAGUUAAGACCAGCACAGCCACUUAACUGACCCUUAGCUGACCUCAGGUUCAGGAGUGAACCAACACACAGAGGCUCAUGAUUUAGACGGCGAGCUAAACAAAUACUUCUCAUUGUUCACCAGGGAGCUUGGUGGCUAUUACGAAGCACCACUGUGGCAAUCAAUAGCUGAUACACAGAUUUUAUAUAUAUGCAUACACACCCCCCCACACACAUACACACCCACCCACCCAUAUGUAUAUAUAACAUCACUAUGGCUUUGAUUAUAAUUUGCUAUACAUCCUAAACUGACAUUUCUCUCUUUGCUUUGGAGGUACUGGCACAAAUUGGUUUCAUUUUACACACACACACACAAUACAGACUCAUGACUUCGAUUAAAACUUGACAUGAGGAAGCUGAAAACUCUGAAGGCUGUGCUCUUCCUCUUAGGCCUCAUGUUUCCCCUCCCAAUCCAUUUAUCUUAAAUAAAAAUCAAAUGUAUUUUUAAAAAAUUAAACAGGUCAUGGAGUUCCCAUUGUGGCUCAGUGGUAACGAACCUGACUAGUAUCCACGAGAACGUGUGUUCGAUCCCUGGCCUCACUCAGUGGGCUGGGAAUCGAACCCACAUUCUCACAGAGACUAUAUUGGGUUCUUAACCUGCUGAGCCACAAUGGGGAGGGACUCCACUCCCCAAUUUAUUAUGGUUCUUCACCCAACUUUCCCAGUAGGGAUCUGCAAUGUGUAAUUAAUUUGUGCCUCCCCAGUGCUCAGCCUAUAGCCAGGCCAUCAUAGUGGUGGAGGCUGCCAUAGAACGUUCUGUGUCCCCCUGUUGUUUCCUCUCUUGGGAUUGACCCCUUUGAGGGCAGAGGAUUGGGUCCCCAAUCCCUGCACCUGCUCGUUACUGAAUUGACCGGGUGGACCAGAUGGCGCCCUGAAGAGGAAACAAGCUCUUUCUCACCCCAGCGCAUACCCGCUCUGGGCUCUGCAGCCCUCUCACAACCCAGCUCGAUGCAAGACAGGAAGCAAACUAGGCUUACAGCAGCCUCAGGCGAGCGGCGGGGAAAUCAGUAGAUCGGUGCACAAAGGAGCGUUUACUAACGCUAUCAUGCUACCCUGCCCUCGUGGAGCCGUUGUGACAUUCUGCAUGAAAGGAGUGACAACCCUCGACUGCUGUGCGUAACGGAGGCCUGGCAUCGUCUUGGCUCCCAGCCCCCAGAACCCUCCUGCUUUCUGGCAACGGAUGGCACACGGGGAUCAGGCGAAACUGAUGGCUUCGUGCAAAAACGUCCUUGUGGACCCUCUAAGUGCUUUGUAGUGUGGCUGCACUUCCGGCUGCCUGUCAGGAGCAUGAUUUUCAUUAAAUAUUAAGGAACUGUUUAUUAAAAUAAUGUUGUCAUGGCAACCAUGGGGGGGGGAGAAGGGUGCUGAAAUAGCCUGGUGCUGCCCGAAUUGCAGCCUGUUAAUCAAGUGCUUGGUGCUAUUUAAUGAGCCUUUUUUGUUUUCUUUUUCUUUUUUAUGGCUGCACCUGCGGCAUAUGGAAGUUCCUGGGCCAGGAAUCGAAUCCAAGUCGCAGCUGCGACCUAUGCCGCAGUUGUGGCAAUGCCGGAUCCUUAACCCACUGCUCCACAGGGGGAACUCCAUGAGCUCCUUUCUCUGUGUGCCUCCUUGUGACAGUGAAUUUGAGGGACCCAAGGACUUAGGGUUUGCUUCAGUUGUCCCUGUCAAAGCUGUGGGCGUUCAGGGGUUCUGGUGCUGGGCUGUGUUUGCUGGCUGGAUGGGUGAUGGAAACCAAAUUUUAGAUGUUCACAUCAGAGGUGUUUCUCAUGGCUCUUCCCUUUUUUCAUCUCUCUUUCACAAUUUUGCCAGAGAACUAGGGGAAAGUAAAUGGGGGAAAGGCACGGCCCAAGGUUCCUUUGCCUGAAAGGAGAGCUGAUGGCAACAGGAAGGGCAGAGGAGGAGAGGUAGACUCAGACCUCCUGGGUUCAAAUCCCCACUCCAUCUCCCCGCCCAACCCCGUGUCACUUCAAGUUAGUGACCUGCUCCCCAAGCAGCUUCUGCAUCACAAGUGUUCACAAAUAUGCAUCCUUCAGAGGGCUGUCGAGGGGGUUCAGGGAGAUGAAGCUCUUACCACUGUGCUUGCCCAGAGUAAGCACUCAACAAAUCCACCGCCACCACCUCUGCUCCUGCUCCAGGCCCUGCUGCAGCCACCACAAUGGUUAUGAGCCCGCCUCUCCCUGCUCCUGCCCAGGGAAGGCCCCAGGGUGCUUUCACGGCCUAAAGGUCUAACGGAGCCCUGACCAGCCAGUACAGGACCCAAACCCAGCUGGUUGGCUCUACAACCCAUGUUCUCUCAGAGGCUGGCAAACUUUUUCUGGAAAGGACCAGAUAGUAAAUAUUUUAGGCUUGGUGGGUCACAUGCAGUCUCUGUCACACUUUUUUUUUUUUUUUUUCCCAAACAAUCUUUACAAAAUACAAAGCCAUUCUUAGCUCACAGGCUGCUCAGAGAUAGGCAUGGUUGGCUGGUCCCUACCAUGCUGCCUUAUGAGGAAAUAGAGGAAAAAAGGAACACGACGUAAAGGGAUGUGUGGCUAUGGAUUUUUUUUUUUUCCCACU
Molecule: long non-coding RNA, 3151 nt
Filed under: Sus scrofa (pig)
Lineage: Eukaryota; Metazoa; Chordata; Mammalia; Artiodactyla; Suidae
Description: lncRNA (ENSSSCG00015045006.1)
Source: RNAcentral